AGGACGAACGCUGGCGGCGUGCUUAACACAUGCAAGUCGAGCGGUAAGGCUCCUUCGGGAGUACACGAGCGGCGAACGGGUGAGUAACACGUGAGUAAUCUGCCCUUCACUUCGGGAUAACCACCGGAAACGGUGGCUAAUACCGGAUACGACCAGCUUUCGCAUGAGAUGCUGGUGGAAAGUCUUUUCGGUGAAGGAUGUGCUCGCGGCCUAUCAGCUUGUUGGUGGGGUAAUGGCCCACCAAGGCUUCGACGGGUAGCCGGCUGAGAGGGUGACCGGCCACACUGGGACUGAGACACGGCCCA
RNAcentral lists this ribosomal RNA (305 nucleotides) under uncultured soil bacterium. RNAcentral's name for it is "bacterial SSU rRNA". It matches the Rfam family "Bacterial small subunit ribosomal RNA", at positions 26 to 333 of the family's 1533-position model. The record is from RNAcentral.